RNAcentral lists this ribosomal RNA (415 nucleotides) under uncultured bacterium. Its description in RNAcentral is "bacterial SSU rRNA". It matches the Rfam family "Bacterial small subunit ribosomal RNA", at positions 503 to 918 of the family's 1533-position model. The record is from RNAcentral.
CCGUGCCAGCAGCCGCGGUAAUACGGAGGGGGUUAGCGUUGUUCGGAAUUACUGGGCGUAAAGCGCGCGUAGGCGGAUUAGUCAGUUAGAGGUGAAAUCCCGGGGCUCAACCCCGGAACUGCCUUUAAUACUGCUAGUCUUGAGUUCGAGAGAGGUGAGUGGAAUUCCGAGUGUAGAGGUGAAAUUCGUAGAUAUUCGGAGGAACACCAGUGGCGAAGGCGGCUCACUGGCUCGAUACUGACGCUGAGGUGCGAAAGUGUGGGGAGCAAACAGGAUUAGAUACCCUGGUAGUCCACACCGUAAACGAUGAAUGCCAGUCGUCGGGUAGCAUGCUAUUCGGUGACACACCUAACGGAUUAAGCAUUCCGCCUGGGGAGUACGGUCGCAAGAUUAAAACUCAAAGGAAUUGACGGGG